GACGAACCGGACAAACGUUAUUCGGAAUUACUGGGCUUAAAGGGUACGUAGGCGGUCCGUUAAGUGGGGUGUGAAAUCCCUCGGCUCAACCGAGGAACUGCGCCCCAUACUGGCGGACUCGAGGGAGACAGAGGUGAGUGGAACUGAUGGUGGAGCGGUGAAAUGCGUUGAUAUCAUCAGGAACACCAGUGGCGAAAGCGGCUCACUGGGUCUCUUCUGACGCUGAGGUACGAAAGCUAGGGGAGCGAACGGG
This 253-nucleotide non-coding RNA is filed under the name Lacipirellulaceae bacterium. RNAcentral's name for it is "partial 16S ribosomal RNA". It matches the Rfam family "Bacterial small subunit ribosomal RNA", at positions 524 to 776 of the family's 1533-position model. The record is from RNAcentral. Lineage: Bacteria; Pseudomonadati; Planctomycetota; Planctomycetia; Pirellulales; Lacipirellulaceae. RNAcentral also lists the same sequence under 2 other names.